This 101-nucleotide non-coding RNA is filed under the name Peromyscus maniculatus bairdii (prairie deer mouse). The record is from RNAcentral. Lineage: Eukaryota; Metazoa; Chordata; Mammalia; Rodentia; Cricetidae.
GGUUGGUCUGAGGGUAGUGGUGUUUACAACUAAUUGAUCACAAUGACUGAACUGUGACUUAGAUUUUCUCUUCUUCCCUCCUAUGUCUGACUCAGUCAUAA